Molecule: ribosomal RNA, 253 nt
Filed under: uncultured bacterium
Lineage: Bacteria
Description: partial 16S ribosomal RNA
Rfam family: Bacterial small subunit ribosomal RNA
Source: RNAcentral
UACGUAGGGUGCGAGCGUUAAUCGGAAUUACUGGGCGUAAAGCGUGCGCAGGCGGUGAUGUAAGACAGGUGUGAAAUCCCCGGGCUUAACCUGGGAACUGCAUUUGUGACUGCAUCGCUGGAGUGCGGCAGAGGGGGAUGGAAUUCCGCGUGUAGCAGUGAAAUGCGUAGAUAUCGAGAGGAACACCUGCGGCGAAGGCGGGUAGCUGGGCCGACACUGACGCUGAGGCGCGAAAGCCAGGGGAGCGAACGGG